UGGGGAAUAUUGCACAAUGGGGGAAACCCUGAUGCAGCGAAGCCGCGUGAACGAAGAAGGUAUUCGUAUCGUAAAGUUCUAUCCUAUGGGAAGAUAAUGACAGUACCAUAGAAGAAAGCUCCGGCUAAAUACGUGCCAGCAGCCGCGGUAAUACGUAUGGAGCGAGCGUUGUCCGGAAUUAUUGGGCGUAAAGGGUACGCAGGCGGUUUAAUAAGUCGAAUGUUAAAGAUCGGGGCUCAACCCCGUAAAGCAUUGGAAACUGAUAAACUUGAGUAGUGGAGAGGAAAGUGGAAUUCCUAGUGUAGUGGUGAAAUACGUAGAUAUUAGGAGGAAUACCAGUAGCGAAGGCGACUUUCUGGACACAAACUGACGCUGAGGUACGAAAGCGUGGGGAGCAAACAGG
RNAcentral lists this ribosomal RNA (403 nucleotides) under Bacteroidota bacterium. RNAcentral's name for it is "Bacteroidetes bacterium partial 16S ribosomal RNA". It matches the Rfam family "Bacterial small subunit ribosomal RNA", at positions 355 to 776 of the family's 1533-position model. Lineage: Bacteria; Pseudomonadati; Bacteroidota. The record is from RNAcentral.